CUCUUAGAUUUCCAUGCUUCUGCGGCUCUUUCCCUGGCCGGCUUUUUUUUUCAUCAUGAGACGCUGCGAUAGAGCGUAGCGAACUUGCUGUCUUUCCUAUUCACAGCGGCGCCUUGCUCAACGUGAUCUACAGUGGUGCUUGUACGCAGCUUGAGUGUGAGUCUCUUUUCCCCCUUUUUCUUUUUUUGCAUUUGCUUUUCAUAUCUGCUUCUCGCGUGAGUUACUCUGUUGCAUUAGGGAAGAGCGGAAGGGCAUAGCUUUUUCUCUUUGCGCCCUGCUGGCGUUUUUUUUUCGUUUAUUUAGAGGCCUUUCAAUGCUUUCGCAGUGCACGUUUGUGAUGUCGCGAUGGACAUCGCGCCUGCCCCCGUUUGCGCGACGCGCCAUGCAGGCGGAUCAGAUGGAGAUAGACUCGGCUCUGUCUCAGAUGUACUCCUUGUGCCUCAACCCCUCACUGGUGAGUAAAAUGAGCCGGGCCCGAAAGAUGACGAAGGGGCACUACUACCGUGAUGACCCUGCUUUUCUCAUGCUGCAGCUCUUGUUUGUCGUCUUCGUGUCGGUCGCGCAGUGGCUGCUGCUUGGUAUGAGAAGGUCGCUUUUGGGCACCGUGUUUGCCGCCAUCACAUGGUAUGUGCUGAGCGGAUUAGGCAUGGCUUGUGUAUGGCGUGCGGUCGCGGUGAUCUACCUCUCUCCAUCUUCGAAAUCCACGCAGAGCGGCGCUUUGGCUGAGGCUGCUUCAGCUCUCGGCGUCGAUUCUGCCGUGGACUACCUGCACCCCGACCUGGACUGGCGCUACGCUUUUGACGUGCACUGCAACGGCUACUUCACAUUCUUCAUGUGGACAGAGGUGAUCGCGUACUUUCUGGCACCGGUCAUGAGCGCGCCAUGGGUGAGCAACGCGCUUGUUGCAAUUGGAGCCACCACGUAUCUGUACAGUGUCUUCCUGGGCUACCUGGAGAUCCCGUCAUUGUCAUGCCAGCAACGUCUACUCUAUCCUGUGCUGAUUAUAGGCGUGCUAUUCCUCCUCCUUAGCCUCUGCGAUGUUAAUGUCGGGUUGACACUGUGGCUGCUGCAAUGCGCAGAAUAAUAGUAACAACAAAGAAAACAACGUACACAUACACACAAACAUGCGCGAAACACGAGAAGGGAGGCAGCGACGAUUUUUCUUUGCCCCCUUUUCCUUUUCUGCGACAUGACCCCCUUCUCCCCAAAGACUUGGUCUCUUAGAUAUCAAAGUACCGCACAAGAGUCGCUGAAGUAUGCGGCUAAAUGCGCGUCCCGCAGUUUCGAAAAAAGGACUAGGAAGUGCGGGGUGGGGGAAUGAUGACCUCUUUUCUGCUCUUAGUGAGGUCGAUGCGUAUGUUCGUGUACGUUAAAGGCAAACGGAGAAGUAUCGUGCUUCCUUUCUGCGUCCUCCUGACGAUUCAGUGCAUGCUGACCUGUCCCCCCUUCCCCCUUUCUCGGGCAGCCGUUCCUGGGGCGGUUCUGGCAAUUUCGCACAAGGUGUGAUGCUGCAGGCAGCUCAUAUUCGUUAAAUACUCUCCGAUUUUCUUCCCCUCUGUUUCUCUCUCUGCUUGACUUCAUCGCCGCCUCCGCAG
This 1595-nucleotide unclassified non-coding RNA is filed under the name Leishmania donovani. Its description in RNAcentral is "gene:LdHU3.35.5150(CDS-product:unc-50_related_pro tein_homolog)". The record is from RNAcentral. Lineage: Eukaryota; Euglenozoa; Kinetoplastea; Trypanosomatida; Trypanosomatidae.